This 148-nucleotide non-coding RNA is filed under the name Homo sapiens (human). The record is from Rfam by way of RNAcentral. Lineage: Eukaryota; Metazoa; Chordata; Mammalia; Primates; Hominidae.
GCCGGGCAUGGUGGCGUGUGCCUGUAAUUCCAGCUGCUUGGGAGGCUGAGGCGGGAGAAUCGCUUGAACCCAGGAGGCGGAGGUUGCAGUGAGCCGAGAUUGCGCCAUUGCACUGCAGCCUGGGUGAUAGAGUGAGACUCUGUCUCAA